Molecule: ribosomal RNA, 292 nt
Filed under: uncultured bacterium
Lineage: Bacteria
Description: partial 16S ribosomal RNA
Source: RNAcentral
GGACUACAAGGGUAUCUAAUCCCAUUCGCUACCCACGCUUUCGUGUUUCAGCGUCAGAAAUGCUCCAGUCUCCUGCCUUCGCUUUUGGUGUUCCCCAUGAUAUCAACGCAUUUCACCGCUACACCAUGAGUUCCAGAGACCCCUCGCAUCCUCUAGUCCUGCCGUUUCCCUUGCAGACCCCCGGUUGAGCCGAAGAAUUUAACAAGAGACUAACAGGACCGCCUACACACCCUUUACGCCCAAUAAUUCCGGAUAACGCUUGAGGCACUCGUAUUACCGCGGCUGCUGGCAC